RNAcentral lists this long non-coding RNA (547 nucleotides) under Homo sapiens (human). Its description in RNAcentral is "non-protein coding lnc-NAIP-4:1". Lineage: Eukaryota; Metazoa; Chordata; Mammalia; Primates; Hominidae. The record is from RNAcentral.
UGGCAUUUCGUUUGGUGCUCGAGCUCGUCCAGGAUGUCUGGGAUGUGUGGUUAUAUCUGAUUUCUGAGCUCUGGGCGUGGAGGUCUGUCUGCAGAGGCCCGGGCCUGGGCACAAAGGGAGAGGGGCCUCCAUUGUCCCGCAGGGGCCAAAAUGCAGACCGUGCAUCCCCGGUGACCUCGGGGACCGUUCUCUGAUCAUCAGGAUUUUCUUGGACUCUGGGGUCCUUGUCCUGCUCAGGCAUCCCUGCCCCGCUCUCCUUGAGGGCCCUCAACACUAUCUUCCCUGGACACAAGUCUGGGGACAGCCGGGUGUUGUGGACCCCAAAGGGGUGACUACCUGCUCCUGGGCCCCACAGAGUCCUUGUGCUCAGUGUAGUGGCUGAGCUGGGGGAUGCCCUGGAACUCGGAGCACACAGCACUGGCUUACUGUGGUACCUGUGCAGUGAAAUUGAAGACAGAAUCACCAGGAUGGAACACAGGUCUUGCAGGAUCACGGAAAACCUUCUUAGAGUUGUCUUGACACCACUGAUGUCGAGUGUGCGGGUGUU